UACAGAGGUCCCAAGCGUUGUUCGGAUUCACUGGGCGUAAAGGGUGCGUAGGCGGUCGGGUAAGUCUGAUGUGAAAUCUCCAAGCUUAACUUGGAAAUGGCAUCGGAUACUAUUCGGCUCGAGGAAUGGAGGGGAGACUGGAAUACUUGGUGUGGCAGUGAAAUGCGUAGAUAUCAAGUGGAACACCAGUGGCGAAGGCGAGUCUCUGGAUAUUUCCUGACGCUGAGGCACGAAAGCCAGGGGAGCAAACGGG
RNAcentral lists this ribosomal RNA (253 nucleotides) under uncultured bacterium. RNAcentral describes it as "partial 16S ribosomal RNA". It matches the Rfam family "Bacterial small subunit ribosomal RNA", at positions 524 to 776 of the family's 1533-position model. The record is from RNAcentral.